RNAcentral lists this long non-coding RNA (4608 nucleotides) under Mus musculus (house mouse). RNAcentral's name for it is "predicted gene, 41442". Lineage: Eukaryota; Metazoa; Chordata; Mammalia; Rodentia; Muridae. The record is from RNAcentral.
CCACUUGAAAGAACCAGAAUAGUCUCUCUGUGCCAAGACGCAAGACGCUCAUUCACAUCUGUACGGUGCUUCAGUUAUAUAAGGCUCCCAGUGCCUACAGAAAGCUAUUUUGGGUGAAGAUACAGUGUCCUGACACCUCUCUUUCUGAAAACUCCACACAGCUACUGAAAUGAACAUUUCCAUCUCCAUGGGCUCACAGACCACUGAGUAACAGAAAACACUGUUGUAUUUCUGCCGACCAGCAUUUGGAAGCAGCCAGUCCUUCAAUCCCAGCCUACUCCAGUCCUCCUUGAGGAAAGAGUCACGGAUCACUCACUCGUCCCUGCCGUCCUCUGACUACCGUAAGGUCUCGCCCAGGGAGAAAAACCUCAACUGGAAUCACAGUGUUGCCAUUUCUGUUGGAUCCGAGGUGGUUUUGCAUCGAUUGGCAGUCCAGCAGUUUGUGCCCGGUGCCCAGAUCUGGAGACAACAAAAACAAUAACUUUUUUUUCCCAAAUAUCUUUUUGUGUAUGGGUAUUUUGCCUGAAUGCUUGUACGUGUACCACGUGCAUGUCUGGUGCCCGCAGAGGCUAGAAGAGGGGACAUCGGAUCUGGACCUCGAGCUACAGAUGGUUGCACACACCUCACUUGAACCUGUGGAGGUCAGAGGACACCGUGGGGAAUUAUUCAUCUCCUAUACACCAGGUGGAUCUUGAGCUCAAACUCAGGUUGUCAGGCCUGCCAGUGAGCUCCCUUAUCUGCUGAGCCAUCUCAGUGUCAGGGGCAUGGUUUUCUUCACCAUACGGAUUCCAUUCCCUUUGGAUAUAUAGUUAGAAGAGGCACCACUGAAUUACACGGUGUUCUGCCCUGUCAUUUUGGAGGAUGUUAUUGUUUUCCAUCAUGUCUAUGUUGAUUUGCAUCCCCAUUAACAGCAUAUUUAUGGUCCCACGUCACCACCUCCACUCGUGACAUCUUGCCUUUACAGCUUCUGCAGGAUCAUUAAUACAUGUAAUGUCAUGUUCAGGUAUUUGGGCAGAAGAGAAAGCCAAUGUUUGAGGUAAUAGUUCUCAAACUGAAGAAGAAAAGAUAAACUGGACCAGGGGAAUAUAUUUGGAAAAAAACUUAUCUGGAAAAACACCGUUACUUAAAUAUAUAAAGAAUUCUUGGAACCUAACAACAAGAAGAUCUGAUUUUUAAAGACUGGCCAAAGACAUGAAAACACACAUCUCACUAAUAAUUCCUAUGUGGAUGAUGAUAAGCAUAAAGAUGCUGCAGAAAAAAAAUUAACAAAAAUUAAUUAAAAAUUUUAAAAUUAAAAAAUUAAAAAUUAUAGGAUGUCAUCUCACUAGGUAACCACAGAAUAGUCAAAUCCAGAACACUGUCAGCACCAGUACUGCCAAGGACCUGGGUCUUCUAACUCCCACACAAAGCUGGAGGGAAGAUCCAGUCACUGCGUCCCUUGCCACUGACCCAAAGGGAUUCAGAACUUACACCUCAGCCAAUGAAAUAUUCAGCAACAAAAAAGGUCAUCUACUAGACCAUGACUAUCAGAGGCACCUCCAUGCACACUGCUAAUAGACGAACAUCCUUAGCACUGAGCAUUGGACCAGCCCCUAGCAUUGUUUGGAAAAGAGCUCUUUCUAGCUCUUGUGGUCAAAAUGUAUCAGUGGAAAAAAAAUGUGAUUUAAAUAGACUUUAGGUCUACAGCAAGCUUGAAUAGAAAAAACAGAAUUCCCAUAUUCUCUGUACCCACCCUCCAAAAAUAUAACAACUACCUCUGCCCCUACCAACAUUGUACACCAAAGACUAUAGUUUAUAUUCAGGCUCACUCGUGCUGUUCAGACACAAACCAACAUGGAUCUGCCCCUGUGGAAUCGCACAGCAGGGUCCCAAGGUCCUUGAAAUCCUGAGCAUCACUAACUCAUCCUCCCUGAGCCUCUGUGACCGUUCACCUUCACCUGCUUGCACAGUUUUGCUUUUCCUAGAAUGCCCUAUUUGGGACCAUAUAGUAUUUAGGAUUUUCCUCGAGUACCCAGGUAAAAGCUGGGCAGCUAUCAUUCCAGUACUGUGGGGUGGGGAGACAAGUGGAACCCUGGAGCGCACUGGCCAGCCAGUGGAGCUAAAUAAAUAAGACUCGGUGAGAAACCCGUUCUCAAAAUAUAAAACAGAACAAAACGACAACAACAACAAACACAAAAAAUGAGAGCAAUUGAGACAUCUGACACACAUUUCUGGUCUCCACAUGUAUGUGUAUAUGUGUUCAGGUGCAGCUACAAACACGUGUGACACACACAAAGUCAUACAUAUAACACACAUACACACAAUUUUAAAAUGUUAAAUGCUAAAGGCCUUCAAACGACAGGCAGAUUGAAUAAAAUCCACAAGCAUUAGAUAUGAAUAACAGAAUAACAGUCUUUCCCCCACAUGUGAGGUCUGACAAUUUCUAACAGCCAGAAAUGAAGUCAGGAAACUGGGGGGGGGGGGGGGAGAAAGACUCUUGGCACGAGGAAAACUAUCCUCAAAGCCCACAGACAGAAACCAACGCCUAUCUGCAGCACUUGCAUCUGAAAAAUACCUUCAGUGAGCUCUUGAGAGCAAGACUGCAUCCCAUAUAGGAAAUAAACUUUACCCAGGUAGAAUUAACUGGAAUGAGUCAAUUUUUACUAAAGUAGGGCUGUCUGAUGUAGUCCAGCCUGGCUUUGAACUUGUGACCCUCCUGUCUGCUUCUGGAGUAUUAGUUUCAGGUAUACACACCUAACCCCAGUUAAUAAUUCUCUACCCUGAAUACGUAGGAGCACAGCGGUUCCACCACUGAGAGAGUAAGAGGACCAGGAUCCUAGUCUUCUUUUCUGCCAAUAACCAGCAGGAUAAUUUUGAUUUUUAUCUGAGCCGCCUUCUGUAAAGAUUACAAAAAUCCUUCCAAGUUGUAAACGUCAAACAACAAACACGUGGUUGGAAGGGAAAGGUGAAGUGCACCGCGAACAAGGAUCUAUCACUCCACACUUACCGGGCCCACCUUUCCUGGGCUGAUCCAGGCGAAGCCUGGAACAUGAAGAACAGAGAGAGUAAAUGACUCAAUCUUCACCUUUGGGGACUUCCCACCCGGUGAGGAGGCCAGGCAACAACCAACCAAUAGGGCAUGUUCCUCUCUCGGGAAGUUACAUUAGAACCUCAGGACGAAAAGUGUUAGGAGUCAGAAUAUUUCAGGCAAGGGAACUUUAAAGUUCCUAAAACAGGGAAGACUUGGGGUGAUGGUGGGGGAACUGGGGAAAAUAAAAGGCAAAAGCAGAAAUCAUUACUAAAGAGAAGAAUACAAGUCUUGAUGGAGUAGGAAGGAUGGUAGUCUCUGAGCAAUCUUAAGUCUCCACCAGUUCUGAAGGGCCUUAAGUAGGUUGGCAACACACACCAUGUGGACUAGAGCACUAGGAAGUGGGAAAUCAGAAAGUUAUCAUGGGAAUGGAAACAAGUAUGGCGGCCUAACUGAGCCCUCCAUGACAUCCCAAGUGGCAGACGGGAGGAGAGACCUAGGGAUCUGAUGGUAGUGGCGUUAGUAAGGCUUAUUAGUCCCUUCAUUUGCAUGUCUGAGGAGAAGAUGAGUCAAGGGCUCAGAAUUCAUGUAGUCCAAGUUACUAACUCUGAGACAACAAAGGGAAUUAAGAGUAAUUUGAAAGAAAAAGCUCACUUGAGACAGGGUGGGAGUGGACAUCUUAUGGAGGAACUGACAUCCUAGCAUGUUGAUAGCAUGUUUGCCUUUGCUCACAAUGAUUGUGUGUGUGUGUGUGUGUGUGUGUGUGUGUAUUCCCCUCUAAGAAUCAACCUUUUCACCAUUGUAUACACGUCGCCUAGCAAAAUUCCUGGGCUCACACUUUGUAUGCCAAUAAACAUUUAAACGUGUUCCUGAAAAUAAACUUCCUGGUUGGUCAUGGUGACUCACGUUUAUUAUCUCAGGAUGCUGAGGAAGGACGACAGUGAGUCCGAGGCCAGCCUGGGCUACAUACACAGUGAGACUGCCUCAGAAACAAACAGAAAGGGGAGGUGGUAUAAAGACUCAGUAGCUGAAGCGUUUGUGACCAAAUCUGCUCACCAGAGUUUGAUCCCCAGGACCUGGGUAGAAAGGAUAGAAGCAAAUUGUUCUCCUGUCUUCAGGCAUGCUCUGGAUGUCUCCUCCCCAAAUACAUGCAGCAAAAAGAAAAGACAAACUAAAAUUCUUCCUCCUCAGAGCUUUAUGCUCAUGCCCCUAUUCAAAACAAAUUCUACCAACUCCAGUCUUGCUCCAAAUUUGAAGUGUAGAAUCAAAACGAGGCUGGAGAGAUGGCUCAGUGGUUAGGAGCUUGUAUUGCUCUUCUUACAGAGGACUCCCGUUCGGCUCCUUUUGGGUUGUUCCUAAUGCCCGUCAACUCUACCUCCAGUCUCCUCCUGUCUCAAGGCACACCUGCGCUCACGGGCACAUACACGGACACACAUACACAUAACUAAAACAAAAAGAUCUUUUAAGUACAACUUUAGAUUUAAUUUACUCUGAAAUUCAGUCACCUGUCAUCCCCACCAUCCCUGGCUACUUUUAGAGUGAAGGCAGGGUGACAGUCGAUUUAUGACACUGGAUUAAAUACUUUGCAAUUUGCCUUGAAA